This is a non-coding RNA of Glycine soja, 122 nucleotides long. Lineage: Eukaryota; Viridiplantae; Streptophyta; Magnoliopsida; Fabales; Fabaceae. The record is from Rfam.
UUCUUAUUGAAUGAUGAUGGUCAUAUGUUUUGAUUCUGAUUAGAUGUCAAUUCUAUAAAAGAUGAAAUGAAUUUUUAUUUUCAUUGAUCAAUAAAAAACAUGACAUGUGACAGUCAUUAUUA